GAUUAACGCUGGCGGCGUGCAUAACACAUGCAAGUCGAACGAUGAAACUUAACUGAUUUCUUCGGAAUGAUUUUAAGUGGAUUAGUGGCGGACGGGUGAGUAACGCGUGAGUAACCUGCCUUGGAGAAGGGGAUAGCCUUUGGAAACGAAGAAUAAUACCCUAUGAUAUGAUAAUAUCUCAUGAUAUUAUCAUCAAAGAUUUAUCGCUCUAAGAUGGACUUGGGUCUGAUUAGUUAGUUGGUGAGGUAACAGCUCACCAAGGCAGCGAUCAGUAGCCGGCUUGAGAGAGUGUACGGCCACAUUGGGACUGAGACACGGCCCAGACUCCUACGGGAGGCAGCAGUGGGGAAUUUUGCACAAUGGGGGAAACCCUGAUGCAGCGACGCCGCGUGAUUUAGAAGGCCUUCGGGUUGUAAAAAUCUUUUGUAUGGGAAGAAAAUGACAGUACCAUACGAAUAAGGACCGGCUAAUUACGUG
RNAcentral lists this ribosomal RNA (477 nucleotides) under uncultured bacterium. RNAcentral's name for it is "partial 16S ribosomal RNA". It matches the Rfam family "Bacterial small subunit ribosomal RNA", at positions 28 to 507 of the family's 1533-position model. The record is from RNAcentral.